ACCUGGUUGAUCCUGCCAGUAGUCAUAUGCUUGUCUCAAAGAUUAAGCCAUGCAUGUCUAAGUAUAAGCUUGUUUAUACGGCGAGACUGCGGAUGGCUCAUUAAAUCAGUUAUAGUUUAUUUGAUGGUCUCUUUUGUCCUUUUUUACCUACUUGGAUAACCGUGGUAAUUCUAGAGCUAAUACAUGCGCAAGGUCCCGAGCGCGGGGGGCGGGGCUUCACGGCCUCGUCCUCGCAUGCGCAGAGGGAUGUAUUUAUUAGGUUAAAAACCAGCAGCCGGCAACGGCUUCAAUCUCCUGGUGAUUCAUAGUAACUCUUUCGGAUCGCAUUCAUGCCCUCCUUGUGGGGGCGGCGACGAUUCAUUCAAAUUUCUGCCCUAUCAACUUUCGAUGGUAGGAUAGAGGCCUACCAUGGUCGUAACGGGUAACGGAGAAUUAGGGUUCGAUUCCGGAGAGGGAGCCUGAGAAAUGGCUACCACUUCUAAGGAAGGCAGCAGGCGNGCNAAUUACCCAAUCCCGACGCGGGGAGGUAGUGACAAUAAAUAACAAUACAGGCGCUCGAUAAGAGUCUUGUAAUUGGAAUGAGUACAAUUUAAACCCCUUAACGAGUAACAAUUGGAGGGCAAGUCUGGUUAACAAGCGCAUCACAGCUAACAGCCAGAUGUCGAACACCAAUAGCAGCCGAACCCACAACAAGUCAGGCCUCACAGGCCUCUCACUGCUGGAGAGCGAUGAUGAGGCUCUAGCCCGAUGGGCUAGAGCCUUGCGCAAAACUCUCACGCCAAUGCCGGCACUUUGCCAAGGCAGCGACUGUCUACUCCUGCCUGCGCAGGACGGUCGGUUCAGCUACCAACGGCGCAAGGUGGCCUUUGGCUAUCAAAUCGUUGCAUUUGAGAAGUUUGGAAGGGACGCCCUUGCUCAGGUGGAAGCCUCCAAGGACAGAAGCUCCAAGCUGCUCUCUCACAUAUGUGGGACCCGCAACUGUUGCAAUGUUGACCACAUUGUGAUAGAGACCAAGGGGAUCAACGAUGAGAGAACGCACUGCCACUUUUGUAUGCUCAACGUCUUCAACGCCUCGGGUCAUUCUGGGGUGGCGAGGUUCUUAGAGCUGGGAGGGUGUCCUCACACUCCCCGCUGCGGCAGCAUCACCCUGCUCGAGGGUUCAUAAUGAAUGUGUUUGGCAGAAAGUUGGAGAUAAGCACCAACUGUACAACCGUAAAUUGCGGGGAACCCCUAAUAGCCUAUUCUACCGCGGCUGUGAGGAUGACUCACAGUGCAGCAGGUGCGGGUAACGCCCACCGGAUGGUAAUAACGAAUAGGAUGACCUAGUCCUCCAACAGACACAUAUAUAACAGGUCACAAUGGGCAAUCCGCAGCCAAGCUCCCAUCUGUUGGGAGAAGGUUCAGAGACUAUAAUCGGAUGGGCGCAAGCUUAAGGUAUAGUCCACUCCCACUUCGAAAGAGGUGCUAUAGAGUUAUUAAGAAGUGUAUGCUUACUUCCUAGGGCUCAUAGAUCCGUUGCUUGCAUAUAUAUAUAUAUGUGCAUCAAUACCACAAGAGGAAAUGCUUGUUGGAAGGAUGGUAGCAAGGGCCAGCAGCCGCGGUAAUUCCAGCUCCAAUAGCGUAUAUUAAAGUUGUUGCAGUUAAAAAGCUCGUAGUUGGAUCUAGGGACGCGCAUUUCAAGCGCCCGUGCCAUCGGGUCAAACCGGUGGCUGCGUUGGCGUUGCGGGCUCGGUCCGUCGGUGCCCCACAAAGGGCUAUCGGCGUGUCAACCGGCCCGCCCGUCCCCUCCUUCUGGAUUCCCGUUCCUGCUAUUGAGUUAGUGGGGACGUCACAGGGGGCUCAUCGUCGUGCGGGUCAAACCGUGCGGCGGUGGGUCCCUGGGGCCCAGAUCGUUUACCGUGAAAAAAUUAGAGUGUUCAAAGCAGGCAGAUCCAAUUUUCUGCCACCGAAUACAUUAGCAUGGGAUAAUGGAAUAGGACCCUGUCCUCCUAUUUUCAGUUGGUUUUGGCAGCGCGAGGACUAGGGUAAUGAUUAAUAGGGAUAGUUGGGGGCAUUAAUAUUUAAUUGUCAGAGGUGAAAUCCUUGGAUUUAUGAAAGAUUAACUUCUGCGAAAGCAUCUGCCAAGGAUGUUUUCAUUAAUCAAGAACGAAAGUUAGGGGAUCGAAGACGAUCAGAUACCGUCGUAGUCUUAACCAUAAACGAUGCCGACCAGCGAUUAGGAGACGUUGAAUACAAAACACCACCAUCGGUGCGGUCGUCCUUGGCGUCGGUUUCGGCCGGCGCGGGGGCGGCUUAGCCCGGUGGCACCGGUGAAUGACUCCCCUAGCAGCUUGUGAGAAAUCAUAAGUCUUUGGGUUCCGGGGGGAGUAUGGUCGCAAGGCUGAAACUUAAAGGAAUUGACGGAAGGGCACCACCAGGAGUGGAGCCUGCGGCUUAAUUUGACUCAACACGGGGAAACUUACCAGGUCCGGAUAUAGUAAGGAUUGACAGAUUGAUAGCUCUUUCUUGAUUCUAUGGGUGGUGGUGCAUGGCCGUUCUUAGUUGGUGGAGUGAUUUGUCUGGUUAAUUCCGUUAACGAACGAGACCUUAACCUGCUAAAUAUGCCGCGCUAACCCGUCCAUCAAAACCCAUGCGUGGCUCACGCGGUCCGCUGCGGGGUGGUGUCGCUUCGCGGCGACGUCAUCCCGCCGGCAGGGCCCGGGUCCGUGUGGGCGGUAGGGUUCGGCGUCCGUGCUUCUUAGAGGGACUGCUGCGCGCCUAGCCAGCGGAAGUUUGAGGCAAUAACAGGUCUGUGAUGCCCUUAGAUGUUCUGGGCCGCACGCGCGCUACACUGAUUAAUCCAACGAGUCCGCUUCAAUCGAGGCGUGAUGCCCGUUGGGGUCAAACCCAACUGGCGUCGCUGUCCUCGAUCGCGCCUGGGCCGAUAGGUCCGGGUAAUCUUUGCAAAUUUAAUCGUGCUGGGGAUAGAUCAUUGUAAUUAUUGAUCUUCAACGAGGAAUUCCUAGUAAGCGCGAGUCAUCAGCUCGCGUUGAUUACGUCCCUGCCCUUUGUACACACCGCCCGUCGCUCCUACCGAUUGAAUGGUCCGGUGAAAUCCUCGGAGCCGUGGCCUCUACGCAAUCCGGGCAACCGGGUUGUGAGGUCUCCCCUUUUGGCGGCGAAGUCGAUUGAACCUUACCAUUUAGAGGAAGGAGAAGUCGUAACAAGGUCUCCGUAGGUGAACCUGCAGAAGGAUCAA
Molecule: ribosomal RNA, 3238 nt
Filed under: Acanthamoeba sp. KDN1
Lineage: Eukaryota; Discosea; Longamoebia; Acanthamoebidae
Description: SSU rRNA
Rfam family: Eukaryotic small subunit ribosomal RNA
Source: RNAcentral